Molecule: ribosomal RNA, 1036 nt
Filed under: Tremateia guiyangensis
Lineage: Eukaryota; Fungi; Ascomycota; Dothideomycetes; Pleosporales; Didymosphaeriaceae
Description: SSU rRNA
Rfam family: Eukaryotic small subunit ribosomal RNA
Source: RNAcentral
CAACUAUACUGUGAAACUGCGAAUGGCUCAUUAAAUCAGUUAUCGUUUAUUUGAUCAUAACCUACUACAUGGAAUACCUGUGGAAAAUCUAGAGCUAAUACAUGCUAAAGCCCCGACUUCGGAAGGGGUGUGUUUAUUAGAUAAAAAGCCAAUGCCCUUCGGGGCUCCUUGGUGAUUCAUGAUAACCUUUCUGAUCGCAAAUGGCCUCCGCGCCGGCGACGGUUCAUUCAAAUUUCUGCCCUAUCAACUUUCGAUGGUACGGUAGUGGCCUACCAUGGUGUCAACGGGUAACGGGGAAUUAGGGUUCGAUUCCGGAGAGGGAGCCUGAGAAACGGCUACCACAUCCAAGGAAGGCAGCAGGCGCGCAAAUUACACAAUGUCGACUCGACGAUGUAGUGACAAUAAAUACUGAUACAGGGCUCUUUUGGGUCUUGUAAUUGGAAUGAGUACAAUUUAAACCUCUUAACGAGGAACAAUUAGAGGGCAAGUCUGGUGCCAGCAGCCGCGGUAAUUCCAGCUCUAAUAGCGUAUAUUAAAGUUGUUGCAGUUAAAAAGCUCGUAGUUGAACCUUUGGCUUGGCGAGCACGUCCGCCUCACCGCGUGCACGUGACCCGCCGAGCCUUUUCUUCUGGAGAACCGCAUGCCCUUCACUGGGUGUGUUGGGGACCAGGACUUUUACUUUGAAAAAAUUAGAGUGUUCAAAGCAGGCCUUUGCUCGAAUACGUUAGCAUGGAAUAAUGGAAUAGGACGUGCGGUCCUAUUUUGUUGGUUUCUAGGACCGCCGUAAUGAUUAAUAGGGACAGUCGGGGGCAUCAGUAUUCAAUUGUCAGAGGUGAAAUUCUUGGAUUUAUUGAAGACUAACUACUGCGAAAGCAUUUGCCAAGGAUGUUUUCAUUAAUCAGUGAACGAAAGUUAGGGGAUCGAAGACGAUCAGAUACCGUCGUAGUCUUAACCAUAAACUAUGCCAGCUGGGGAUCGGACGGUGUUUCUAUUGUGACCCGUUCGGCACCCUACGAGAAAUCAAAGCGUUUGGGUU